RNAcentral lists this small RNA (29 nucleotides) under Bombyx mori (domestic silkworm). Its description in RNAcentral is "ovarian small RNA-30694". Lineage: Eukaryota; Metazoa; Arthropoda; Insecta; Lepidoptera; Bombycidae. The record is from RNAcentral.
UGAACAUACAAGCUAUCGAAGAUGGACGC